GAAAUGCGAUAAGUAGUGUGAAUUACAGAAUUCAGUGAAUCAUCGAAUCUUUGAACGCACAUUGCGCCCCUUGGUGUUCCAUGAGGCAUGCCUGUUCGAGCGUCAUUUGUACCUUCAAGCUCUGCUUGGUGUUGGGUGUUUUGUCUCGCCUCUGCGUGUAGACUCGCCUUAAAACAAUUGGCAGCCGGCGUAUUGACUUCGGAGCGCAGUACAUCUCGCGCUUUGCACUCAUAGCGGCGACGUCCAAACGUACAUUUUUACACUCUUGACCUCGGAUCAGGUAGGGAUACCCGCUGAACUUAA
This 303-nucleotide unclassified non-coding RNA is filed under the name uncultured fungus. RNAcentral's name for it is "sequence contains ITS1". The stretch from base 1 to 105 matches the Rfam family "5.8S ribosomal RNA", at positions 50 to 154 of the family's 154-position model. Lineage: Eukaryota; Fungi. The record is from RNAcentral.